UGACUUGUGUACGUACAUUCUG
RNAcentral lists this non-coding RNA (22 nucleotides) under Arabidopsis thaliana (thale cress). Lineage: Eukaryota; Viridiplantae; Streptophyta; Magnoliopsida; Brassicales; Brassicaceae. The record is from RNAcentral.